AGUUGUGUAUUUUUAGUUGUGGGUCCUUCUAGUUGUGGCAUGUGGGAUGCCGCUUCAGUAUGGCUUGAUGAGCGGUGCCAUGUCCUCGCCCAGGAUUGGAACUGGCGAAACCCUGGGCUGCGGAAGUAGAGCGCGAGAACUUAACCACUCAGCCACGGGGCGGCCCCUGGACGUAACUUCUGAGACCACUAACAUCUUCUAUUAAAUAUGAGGAGAGAGAGUCUUAGGUUGAAACCAUUGCUGAGAACAGCACAGCGGGAAGAUGAAAGAAAACUACAGCCUUUGCAAUAUUCUUAAGCUCUUUUUCAUACUAUGCCAGAGGCCCUACAGCUGGACUUCCAACUACGUAUUUGGAAGCCCAGGGGAUUCUAAUUCCAUCAAAAUUUGAGAGGCACUGACUUCCAAGGCCACAGCCAUAAACCUUCACCACCACUUACUAGGCAAUGUUUCACCUUUCUGGACCCGUUUACGCAUCUGUGUAGUCGUCCUAUCUAACCUGCAGGUCUACAGCGGACUGAAGGCAAAUCACAUGUGGGGUGAAACGGCUUCUCUAAUCCAGUAUUUUCAUAUUGCUGCGAUGUGCAUUAAGUAGAUACAAAAAUAAGCAAAUUAGGGUUGGCAGAGACGUUGGCUUUAAUGGUAAAAUUAACGGAAAUGAUGAAUGGUAGGACGAUGCCUUCUCUACCUUGAGCCACUGAGCUUCCACUCCUCUCAGGAUCAUGGCAUGACUUGAGGUGAUGACCCUCAGCUACUCUGGUCACACUGUUGUGAAAACGCCUAGAAAAGUUAAAAACAUGAGUGUUGGGAAAGAGGAGAUUUGGAUGAGGGCCCUAAAUUCACUUUUUGGACCAAGGUAUGUUUUACUGGCAAACACUUUCAGUAAUGUCUGCAUGUGCAACAGAAACAUUUCCCUCGACGCUCUAAAAAGAAGAAAAAGAAAAGAAGAGAAA
RNAcentral lists this long non-coding RNA (950 nucleotides) under Equus asinus (donkey). Its description in RNAcentral is "lncRNA (ENSEASG00005023880.1)". The record is from RNAcentral. Lineage: Eukaryota; Metazoa; Chordata; Mammalia; Perissodactyla; Equidae.